UCUGGAUCUGCCCACACCGCGCGUUCCCAACCGUGGGAGAAGAGGCCGGGCCCUAGGGGGAGGCGCGGGGCGGGGGGUGGGGGCAGAUUGACGCAUCUCCUUCGCUUAAUGAGGUGAACCCUUUCUAGAUCUGUACUCGCGGGGCAAAAGGGUAUCUCCUGUUGCUGCUGGCUGGUUAGGCUUACCGAUGUUGCAACAAACUUCCAGUCACUGCCCCUGAACUGGUGAGCGCGCCCCACCUACCGUAGACUCAGCCAAGUGACUUAUCUGAGCACCUAGUCAAUGGCUGUCAGCCCAGAACAAACCUGUCAAGUAAAAGCUUACUGCCGGGAUUGGCUGACCUGUCGCGGUUGAGAGAGCUGGUUCAGAAAUGCUGAUAACUAGCGUACAGCCCCUCCUCCCCCACCAACCAGCCACAAAGCAAGCGAUCACCUUGAGCUUGGAGGGAAAAAAAAAAAUGACAUCAACUCCAAUGUAGAGCAUCACUCCAUAGAGCACAAGGAGGCGUAUCCCAGCGCUGACCCCAGCCCACAAGCACCACCAAGUGAGGCAAGAAAGUCGAAAGCCAGCUAGCUGCUUCGCUCGGCUGCUCUGCAGGGCUGAAGGAACAGACACGCGGUGUUGGCAGAAAUAAUUGUAUUUUUACAGCACCACAGACUCUUUGCAUCCUACAUGGUGACAGACAGCUCUGUGAUAUAAAGAUGGAAGAUGAAAAAGAAAUUGCAAGGAUCCCCUCAUCCAUCAACUGCAUUGUACAAGCAAAGAAACUAGGACCAGUGGUAUAACGUGCCCCUAUUACACAAGAGUCAAUGACAGAUCCUUACGAGUGAGUGUGGGACGUUUCCAAAUACCAAUUUUUGUUUGGUUGGGGUUUUUUUGGUUGUUGUUUUGUUUUUGGUUUUGUUUUUC
Molecule: long non-coding RNA, 909 nt
Filed under: Mus spicilegus (steppe mouse)
Lineage: Eukaryota; Metazoa; Chordata; Mammalia; Rodentia; Muridae
Description: lncRNA (ENSMSIG00000026122.1)
Source: RNAcentral